This 497-nucleotide ribosomal RNA is filed under the name uncultured bacterium. RNAcentral describes it as "partial 16S ribosomal RNA". It matches the Rfam family "Bacterial small subunit ribosomal RNA", at positions 28 to 507 of the family's 1533-position model. The record is from RNAcentral.
GAUGAACGCUGGCGGCGUGCCUAAUACAUGCAAGUCGAGCGAACAGACGAGGAGCUUGCUCCUCUGACGUUAGCGGCGGACGGGUGAGUAACACGUGGAUAACCUACCUAUAAGACUGGGAUAACUUCGGGAAACCGGCGCUAAUACCGGAUAAUAUAUUGAACCGCAUGGUUCAAUAGUGAAAGACGGUUUUGCUGUCACUUAUAGAUGGAUCCGCGCCGCAUUAGCUAGUUGGUAAGGUAACGGCUUACCAAGGCAACGAUGCGUAGCCGACCUGAGAGGGUGAUCGGCCACACUGGAACUGAGACACGGUCCACACUCCUACGGGAGGCCGCAGUAGGGAAUCUUCCGCAAUGGGGGAAAGCUUGACGGAGCGACGCCGCGUGAGUGAUGAAGGUCUUCGGAUCGUAAAACUCUGUUAUUAGGGAAGAACAAAUGUGUAAGUAACUAUGCACGUCUUGACGGUACCUAAUCAGAAAGCCACGGCUAACUACGUG